CCUACGGGAGGCUGCAGUGGGGAAUAUUGGACAAUGGGGGGAACCCUGAUCCAACCAUGCCGCGUGUGUGAAGAAGGCCCUCGGGUUGUAAAGCACUUUCAGUGAGGAAGAACGCCUGGUGGUUAAUACCCAUCAGGAAGGACAUUACUCACAGAAGAAGCACCGGCUAACCCGUGCCAGCAGCCGCGGUAAUACGGAGGGUGCGAGCGUUAAUCGGAAUUACUGGGCGUAAAGCGCGCGUAGGUGGCUUGAUAAGCCGGUUGUGAAAGCCCCGGGCUCAACCUGGGAACGGCAUCCGGAACUGUCAAGCUAGAGUGCAGGGGAGGAAGGUAGAAUUCCCGGUGUAGCGGUGAAAUGCGUAGAGAUCGGGAGGAAUACCAGUGGCGAAGGCGGCCUUCUGGACUGACACUGACACUGAGGUGCGAAAGCGUGGGUAGCAAACAGGAUUAGAUACCCCAGUAGUC
RNAcentral lists this ribosomal RNA (464 nucleotides) under Vreelandella stevensii. RNAcentral's name for it is "partial 16S ribosomal RNA". It matches the Rfam family "Bacterial small subunit ribosomal RNA", at positions 338 to 795 of the family's 1533-position model. Lineage: Bacteria; Pseudomonadati; Pseudomonadota; Gammaproteobacteria; Oceanospirillales; Halomonadaceae. The record is from RNAcentral.